UGCAGUGUAGUUUAUAAAAAAUUUCUAUUUUACACGUAGAAGAACCCAUUUGAGGGCUUUGCUA
This 64-nucleotide transfer RNA is filed under the name Testudotaenia sp. WL-2016. Its description in RNAcentral is "tRNA-Val". The record is from RNAcentral. Lineage: Eukaryota; Metazoa; Platyhelminthes; Cestoda; Proteocephalidea; Proteocephalidae.